CGUGUAGGCGGUUAAUAAAGUUGAGAGUGAAAUCCCCGGGCUUAACCUGGGAACUGCUUUCAAAACUCAUUAACUAGAGAACGAUAGAGGAUAGUAGAAUUCCUAGUGUAGAGGUGAAAUUCUUAGAUAUUAGGAGGAAUACCGGUGGCGAAGGCGGCUAUCUGGGUCGUUUCUGACGCUAAGGCGCGAAAGCGUGGGGAGCAAACAGGAUUAGAUACCCUGGUAGUCCACGCUGUAAACGAUGAGUGUUAGGUGUUGGGGUCGCAAGAUCUCAGUGCCGCAGCUAACGCAUUAAACACUCCGCCUGGGAAGUAAGAUCGCAAGAUUAAA
This 330-nucleotide ribosomal RNA is filed under the name uncultured Rickettsia sp. RNAcentral's name for it is "bacterial SSU rRNA". It matches the Rfam family "Bacterial small subunit ribosomal RNA", at positions 568 to 898 of the family's 1533-position model. The record is from RNAcentral. Lineage: Bacteria; Pseudomonadati; Pseudomonadota; Alphaproteobacteria; Rickettsiales; Rickettsiaceae.